This is a long non-coding RNA of Microcebus murinus (gray mouse lemur), 1511 nucleotides long. RefSeq lists it as uncharacterized. The record is from RefSeq and is a predicted model, not a curated record. NCBI's taxonomy places the organism in Eukaryota, Metazoa, Chordata, Mammalia, Primates, Cheirogaleidae.
GCCAGCUGUCAUCAGUUCUUUUUGGCUCAUCAGCUCAAAGGAAUGCCAAGGAGGUAGGGUGUUGGGGACAGGCCCAGGCCCAACACAGCCACCAGCCGCAAGCAAGUGACCUGCUCUCAGGACAGUUCUCCUUCCUGGGCCUUAGUUUCCAUCUCCGGUAGAGGACUUUGUAAGGACUCCUUCUGUCCAGAACAUUGUGACUCUGAGAGGAAGCAGAAUUGCCAUUUUUCUUGGAGGCUGACCCAGGAAGGGGACCAUCUCCAAAGAAGUGGCCUUAUUCUCCUGGCCAAUGAUCAGCCUGAAUGCUGGUGUCCUCCCCAAAUCCAUAUGUUGAACUUAACCCCCAACAUGACAGUAUUAACACACGUGGCCUUGGGAGGUGAGUAGGUCGUGAGGGCUCCAUCCUCACGAAUGGGGUUCACGGCCUUAUAAAGAGGCCUGAGGGGGCUUGUUUGCUCCUUCAACCAUAUGAGGACACACAGAAGGUGCCACCUAUGAGGAACAGGCCCUCACCAGACACCAACUCUGCUGGCACUUUGAUCUUGGACUUCCUAGCACUAACUUGUUGAACUAGCAGGGAUGUUGCUGAACAGGAGCACCUUACCAUCCACCUUGAUACCUCUGGGAUCAAUGCGGAGUUUAAGAGAUGCGCCACCCGUGCAUCGCGCCCUCAGAAGGAGCCAUUCUCAGACAUCGCUCGCUGUGCCAGCCUGCCCAAGGUGCUUUUGCAGCUGUGGAUCACUGGGGAGGACUGCUCCUUCCUCCUUGUGGCAUCGCCUUCCCUGGGCAGGGAGCUCUGGCAAGACAGCCCCCCUGGCCUCUGUGUGCCCACAGUCCUGCCUUCCCAGGGGAGGAGGCUGUCCCAGCCACCCUCCCUUUGUCUUUGUUCACCAGCUCUGUCUGUGCUCACGGGCUGACUACAGGGGUUACAUGCACAGAUGCUCUGUCCUCUGGUUUCUGAUCGGGCAAGAUAUUUGUGUCUGUUGGGGGCAGGGAUAUGAAUCUCCCGACUCCCUCCCUGCAGGUGGCAGCGGGCUGGCUGCAGCACAUCCCUCCACUGAGGCGACACCUCCCGAGCAGACUGCUCUCUCCACCCACCCUCUGUCUUUUCAGAUUCUAGUAACUGCCCACUCUGUCUCGGUGUCACCUCAAGGAUAUUGCACUUCCCUUUGUGGAUUCCCCAUGGCGUGCCCACGCUUUUGUAAAGAAUCCCUUUAUUAAGCUUUGUUCAAAUUACACAGUUUGAGUAUGUCAUCUAUUCCUGCCAGACCCUCACUGACAAGAGGGUUGACUCACUUUGAUUGGUGAGAUCAGGAGGAGGAAUAUGGUCUGGCUGUUCUGAUCCCUUCUGCUCUCUUUCUUCUUGGACACUGGUCUCUCUUCAUUUUGUGCAAUAGAUGCCCCCUGCCUCCUUCUCCAGUGUGGCUUGUGACUGGGUUCCAGUUCUGUCUCAUUCUGGGCUCCGAUAUUAGGCAGCCCUAAACAGAAAUGUAUUCAUCCAUAUUAGUGUU